UAUUUCCUUCAGAAAUAGCAUGGGAUCAUGCUCGGGAGAGAAGCUCCGGGCCCAGGGACUCCGCCUCCGCUCCUCCAGGCGCCCCUCUUCACUGUCUCUUCUGUGUGCCCUCUGCUUCUCCUGCCUCCAACCAGGUCUGGUUUCAAAACCGCAGGGCCAAAUGGCGCAAGCGGGAGAAGCGCUGGGGCGGCAGCAGCGUGAUGGCCGAGUACGGGCUGUACGGGGCUAUGGUGCGCCACUGCAUCCCGCUGCCCGACUCCGUGCUCAACUCCGCGGAGGGCGGCCUGCUGGGCUCCUGCGCGCCCUGGCUCCUGGGGAUGCAUAAAAAAUCCAUGGGGAUGAUAAGGAAGCCAGGAGGUGAAGAUAAGUUGGCAGGACUCUGGGGCUCCGACCACUUCAAAGAAGGUUCUAGCCAGAGUGAGUCAGGACCACAGAGAGGCUUGGAUAAAGUGAACUCUGAGAAUGGCUUGGAAGAUGUGGCUAUCGACCUCUCCAGUUCUGCCCGGCAGGAGACCAAGAAAGUGCACCCUGGGGCUGGUGCUCAAGGAGGCUCCAACU
Molecule: small RNA, 558 nt
Filed under: Pongo abelii (Sumatran orangutan)
Lineage: Eukaryota; Metazoa; Chordata; Mammalia; Primates; Hominidae
Description: retained intron
Source: RNAcentral